CCUACGGGAGGCAGCAGUGGGGGAUAUUGCACAAUGGGGGGAACCCUGAUGCAGCGACGCCGCGUGGGUGAAGAAGCGCCUCGGCGCGUAAAGCCCUGUCAGCAGGGAAGAAAAUGACGGUACCUGAAGAAGAAGCCCCGGCUAACUACGUGCCAGCAGCCGCGGUAAUACGUAGGGGGCAAGCGUUAUCCGGAUUUACUGGGUGUAAAGGGGGCGCAGACGGCGAUGCAAGCCAGGAGUGAAAGCCCGGGGUCCAACCCCGGGACUGCUCUUGGAACUGCGUGGCUGGAGGGCAGGAGGGGCAGGCGGAAGUCCUGGUGUAGCGGGGAAAUGCGUAGAUAUCAGGAGGAACACCGGUGGCGAAGGCGGCCUGCUGGACUGCAACUGACGUUGAGGCCCGAAAGCGUGGGGAGCAAACAGGAUUAGAUACCCUUGUAGUC
This 440-nucleotide ribosomal RNA is filed under the name uncultured bacterium. RNAcentral describes it as "partial 16S ribosomal RNA". It matches the Rfam family "Bacterial small subunit ribosomal RNA", at positions 338 to 795 of the family's 1533-position model. The record is from RNAcentral.